RNAcentral lists this ribosomal RNA (899 nucleotides) under uncultured Bacillota bacterium. Its description in RNAcentral is "bacterial SSU rRNA". It matches the Rfam family "Bacterial small subunit ribosomal RNA", at positions 21 to 917 of the family's 1533-position model. Lineage: Bacteria; Bacillati; Bacillota. The record is from RNAcentral.
GGCUCAGGAUGAACGCUGGCGGCGUGCUUAACACAUGCAAGUCGAACGGGGUACCCAUGACAGAGGCUUCGGCCAAUAGAUUGGAAUACCUAGUGGCGGACGGGUGAGUAACGCGUGAGGAACCGGCCUUGGAGUGGGGAAUAACAGCUGGAAACAGCUGCUAAUACCGCAUAAUGCAGUUGGGUCGCAUGGCUCUGACUGCCAAAGAUUUAUCGCUCUGAGAUGGCCUCGCGUCUGAUUAGCUAGUUGGUGAGGUAACGGCUCACCAAGGCGACGAUCAGUAGCCGGUCUGAGAGGAUGAACGGCCACAUUGGGACUGAGAUACGGCCCAGACUCCUACGGGAGGCAGCAGUGGGGAAUAUUGGGCAAUGGGGGAAACCCUGACCCAGCAACGCCGCGUGAAGGAGGAAGGCUUUCGGGUUGUAAACUUCUUUUACCAGGGACGAAGGACGUGACGGUACCUGGAGAAAAAGCAACGGCUAACUACGUGCCAGCAGCCGCGGUAAUACGUAGGUUGCAAGCGUUGUCCGGAUUUACUGGGUGUAAAGGGCGUGUAGGCGGAGAAGCAAGUUGGGAGUGAAAUCCAUGGGCUCAACCCAUGAACUGCUCUCAAAACUGUUUCCCUUGAGUAUCGGAGAGGCAAGCGGAAUUCCUGUGUAGCGGUGAAAUGCGUAGAUAUUAGGAGGAACACCAGUGGCGAAGGCGGCUUGCUGGACGACAACUGACGCUGAGGCGCGAAAGCGUGGGGAGCAAACAGGAUUAGAUACCCUGGUAGUCCACGCUGUAAACGAUGAAUACUAGGUGUGGGAGGACUGACCCCUUCCGUGCCGCAGUUAACACAAUAAGUAUUCCACCUGGGGAGUACGACCGCAAGGUUGCAACUCAAAUGAAUUGACGGA